AAGGGAGACCUAAUUCCGGUAGGAGACGAAAAAAAAGUAGUCCCAACCAAGAAUCAAUCCCAAAAGGUCGGAACGAGGUAUGAGGCUUUCAAACUAGGUUCUGGGUUCAUAAAAGACCUGAAUCAGGAACAAGGGCUAUUAGCUCAGGUGGUUAGAGCGCACCCCUGAUAAGGGUGAGGUCCCUGGUUCGAGUCAAGGAUGGCCCACCUGCACAGGUGGCAAAAACAAGAGAAGCUCCGAAUCAGCACCUUAUCUUAUAUACAUAUAUAAGAGAGAAUGCUGGCUCUGAGUACAGAGUCCAGAGGAACCUUGAAAACUGCAUAGAGCUAGGUGAAAAAGCCAAAAAAGAAGACCGCAA
Molecule: transfer RNA, 358 nt
Filed under: uncultured Microcystis sp.
Lineage: Bacteria; Bacillati; Cyanobacteriota; Cyanophyceae; Chroococcales; Microcystaceae
Description: partial 16S-23S ribosomal RNA intergenic spacer
Rfam family: tRNA (bases 133-206)
Source: RNAcentral